RNAcentral lists this ribosomal RNA (548 nucleotides) under uncultured bacterium. Its description in RNAcentral is "bacterial SSU rRNA". It matches the Rfam family "Bacterial small subunit ribosomal RNA", at positions 44 to 596 of the family's 1533-position model. The record is from RNAcentral.
GUGCUUACACAUGCAAGNNNNNACGAGAACGGUACUAGCUUGCUAGUAUGUCAGCUAAGUGGCGGACGGGUGAGUAAUGUAUAGUUAAUUUGCCCCUUGGAGAGGGAUAGCCACUGGAAACGGUGAUUAAUACCUCAUACUCCUUCUCUCUUAAUGAGAGUUGGGAAAUGUUUUUUCGCCAAGGGAUAAGACUAUAUGGUAUCAGGUAGUUGGUGGGGUAAGAGCCUACCAAGCCAAUGACGCCUAGCUGGUCUGAGAGGAUGAUCAGCCACACUGGAACUGAGACACGGUCCAGACUCCUACGGGAGGCAGCAGUGGGGAAUAUUGCACAAUGGAGGAAACUCUGAUGCAGCAACGCCGCGUGGAGGAUGACGCAUUUCGGUGUGUAAACUCCUUUUAUUAAGGAAGAAAUUUGACGGUACUUAAUGAAUAAACANCCGGCUAACUCCGGUGNCAGCAGCCGCGGUAAUACGGAGGGUGCAAGCNGUUACUCCGAAAUCNCUGGGGCGUAAAAGNGCGCCCCAGGCCGGCUAUUUAAGUUGGAAUGU